This 73-nucleotide transfer RNA is filed under the name Marmota monax (woodchuck). RNAcentral's name for it is "tRNA.Ala". Lineage: Eukaryota; Metazoa; Chordata; Mammalia; Rodentia; Sciuridae. The record is from RNAcentral.
AUGCACAUAGCUCAGCAGGUGAGUAUUUGCCUAGCAUUCACAAGGUCCUGGGUUUGAACCCCAGUGCUGUAUG